RNAcentral lists this ribosomal RNA (434 nucleotides) under uncultured bacterium. RNAcentral's name for it is "partial 16S ribosomal RNA". It matches the Rfam family "Bacterial small subunit ribosomal RNA", at positions 29 to 507 of the family's 1533-position model. The record is from RNAcentral.
AGCGAACGCUGGCGGCAGGCCUAACACAUGCAAGUCGAACGAACCUUUCGGGGUUAGUGGCGGAUGGGUGAGGAACACGUGGGAACGUGCCUUUAGGUCUGGAAUAACUCAGGGAAACUUGUGCUAAUACGGAAUGUGACCUUCGGGGGAAAGAUUUAUCGCCUUUAGGGCGGCCGGCGUCUGAUUAGCUUGUUGGUUGAGGUAAUGGUGAACCCAGGCGACGGUCAGUAGUCGGUAUGAGAGAGAGGUCAGACACAUUGGGACUGGGCAACGGCCGAGACUCCUACAGAAGGCGGGAGUGGCGGAUCUUGCCCAAUGGGGUGAAGGCUGAAGCACCCAGGAUGGGUAAAUGAUGAAGGUCUGGAGGAUGGAAAGUUCUUUCACCGCGGACGGUAUUGACGGUACCCAGAGAAGAAGCCCCGGCUAACUUCGUG